Molecule: transfer RNA, 74 nt
Filed under: Kuravirus phiEco32
Lineage: Duplodnaviria; Heunggongvirae; Uroviricota; Caudoviricetes; Mtkvariviridae
Also listed under: 2 other names
Description: Enterobacteria phage Phieco32 tRNA
Rfam family: tRNA
About the family: Transfer RNA (tRNA) molecules are approximately 80 nucleotides in length. Their secondary structure includes four short double-helical elements and three loops (D, anti-codon, and T loops).
Source: Rfam by way of RNAcentral
GCGCCCUUAGUUCAAUUGGACAGAACAUCGGAUUUCUAAUCCGUCGGUUACAGGUUCGAAUCCUGUAGGGUGCG